Molecule: ribosomal RNA, 399 nt
Filed under: Enterobacter sp. PD-P24
Lineage: Bacteria; Pseudomonadati; Pseudomonadota; Gammaproteobacteria; Enterobacterales; Enterobacteriaceae
Description: bacterial SSU rRNA
Rfam family: Bacterial small subunit ribosomal RNA
Source: RNAcentral
GGGGCAUGGCGGCAUGCUACCAUGCAAGUCGAACGGUAGCACAGAGAGCUUGCUCUCGGGUGACGAGUGGCGGACGGGUGAGUAAUGUCUGGGAAACUGCCUGAUGGAGGGGGAUAACUACUGGAAACGGUAGCUAAUACCGCAUAAUGUCGCAAGACCAAAGAGGGGGACCUUCGGGCCUCUUGCCAUCAGAUGUGCCCAGAUGGGAUUAGCUAGUAGGUGGGGUAACGGCUCACCUAGGCGACGAUCCCUAGCUGGUCUGAGAGGAUGACCAGCCACACUGGAACUGAGACACGGUCCAGACUCCUACGGGAGGCAGCAGUGGGGAAUAUUGCACAAUGGGCGCAAGCCUGAUGCAGCCAUGCCGCGUGUAUGAAGAAGGCCUUCGGGUUGUAAAGU